This 542-nucleotide unclassified non-coding RNA is filed under the name Exaiptasia diaphana. Its description in RNAcentral is "neuropilin-1, transcript variant X2". Lineage: Eukaryota; Metazoa; Cnidaria; Anthozoa; Actiniaria; Aiptasiidae. The record is from RNAcentral.
GUAAUAUAUAGCGUGCUUGUGAUGACAAACCUUGUGCUAACAACGGGAAAUGCAUUACGAACGAUGACAGCAGUAAUUUUACAUGUGGCUGUACAAGACUUUUCACUGGCAAAACAUGCANAGAUCGUGUGCCAUGUGCAGAUGCCCUUGGGAUGGAAAAUGGUAAAAUUUUAGAUUCCCAGUUGUCUAUGUCUUCAUAUUAUAACAAAGAUUCCCGUUAUGGUGAGAAAAAUGGCAGGCUUAACAAGAAAGACUGGCCUCCAGGAGCACAGACUGAUAGCGCCGAUCAGUCGCCAUGGUUCAAGAUUGACCUUCUACAAAUCAAGUAUGUGUCUGGUGUUGGUAUUCAAGGAUACCACGAUGGACAGUCCUGGACGACAUCUUUCAUGGUAUCAACAUCUACUGAUGGUUCUUCCUGGACAAUGUACCAGGAAAUACCUGGCACCAAUAAGGUAGAUAAACAGCAACAAAUCACGUAAAUCUUAACGAAUUAGUCUCAUCUCAAAGCCGUUAGGACGUUGUUCGGUGGGAGUGACCUGGGA